This 480-nucleotide ribosomal RNA is filed under the name uncultured Alphaproteobacteria bacterium. Its description in RNAcentral is "bacterial SSU rRNA". It matches the Rfam family "Bacterial small subunit ribosomal RNA", at positions 9 to 521 of the family's 1533-position model. Lineage: Bacteria; Pseudomonadati; Pseudomonadota; Alphaproteobacteria. The record is from RNAcentral. RNAcentral also lists the same sequence under 1 other name.
AAGUUUGAUCGUGGCUCAGAACGAACGCUGGCGGCAGGCUUAACACAUGCAAGUCGAGCGCGCCCUUCGGGGUGAGCGGCGGACGGGUGAGUAACGCGUGGGAACGUGCCCUCUUCUUCGGAAUAGCCCUGGGAAACUGGGAGUAAUGCCGGAUACGCCGGGCCAUAGCGAUAUGGUUCGGGAAAGAUUUAUCGGAGGAGGAUCGGCCCGCGUUGGAUUAGGUAGUUGGUGGGGUAACGGCCUACCAAGCCGACGAUCCAUAGCUGGUUUGAGAGGAUGACCAGCCACACUGGGACUGAGACACGGCCCAGACUCCUACGGGAGGCAGCAGUGGGGAAUCUUGGACAAUGGGGGCAACCCUGAUCCAGCCAUGCCGCGUGAGCGAUGAAGGCCUUAGGGUUGUAAAGCUCUUUCAGCGGGGAAGAUAAUGACGGUACCCGCAGAAGAAGCUCCGGCUAACUUCGUGCCAGCAGCCGCUGU